GAUGAACGCUGACAGAAUGCUUAACACAUGCAAGUCUACUUGAACUUCGGUUUGGGUGGCGCACGGGUGAGUAACGCGUAAAGAACUUACCACACAGUUAGGGACAACAUUUGGAAACGAAUGCUAAUACCUGAUAUUAUGAUUUUAGGGCAUCCUAAGAUUAUGAAAGCUAUAUGCGCUGUGAGAGAGCUUUGCGUCCCAUUAGCUAGUUGGAGAGGUAACGGCUCACCAAGGCGAUGAUGGGUAGCCGGCCUGAGAGGGUGAACGGCCACAAGGGGAGUGAGACACGGCCCUUACCCACACGGGAGGGAGGAGUGGAGAAUAGUGGACAAUGGACAAAAAGUCUGAUGCAGCAAUUCGGUGUGCAUGAUGACGUUUUGCGGAAUGUAAAGUGCUUUCAGUUGGGAAGAAAAAAAUGACGGUACCAACAGAAGAAGUGACGGCUAAAUACGUG
This 454-nucleotide ribosomal RNA is filed under the name uncultured bacterium. RNAcentral describes it as "partial 16S ribosomal RNA". It matches the Rfam family "Bacterial small subunit ribosomal RNA", at positions 28 to 507 of the family's 1533-position model. The record is from RNAcentral.